RNAcentral lists this ribosomal RNA (482 nucleotides) under uncultured bacterium. Its description in RNAcentral is "partial 16S ribosomal RNA". It matches the Rfam family "Bacterial small subunit ribosomal RNA", at positions 28 to 523 of the family's 1533-position model. The record is from RNAcentral.
GACGAACGCUGGCGGCGUGCUUAACACAUGCAAGUCGAACGAUGAACCAGGGCUUGCCCUGGGGAUUAGUGGCGAACGGGUGAGUAACACGUGGGCAACCUGCCCCAGACACCGGGAUAACCAUUCGAAAGGAUGGCUAAUACCGGAUACGACCACUUCGGGCAUCCGAUGGUGGUGGAAAGGAUUCUGGUCUGGGAUGGGCCCGCGGCCUAUCAGCUUGGUGGUGGGGUAAUGGCCUACCAAGGCGACGACGGGUAGCCGGCCUGAGAGGGCGACCGGCCACACUGGGACUGAGACACGGCCCAGACUCCUACGGGAGGCAGCAGUGGGGAAUAUUGCGCAAUGGGCGAAAGCCUGACGCAGCGACGCCGCGUGAGGGACGAAGGUCUUCGGAUUGUAAACCUCUUUCAGCAGGGAUGAAGCGAAAGUGACAGUACCUGCAGAAGAAGCACCGGCUAACUACGUGCCAGCCGCCGCCGUAA